This 508-nucleotide ribosomal RNA is filed under the name uncultured bacterium. RNAcentral describes it as "bacterial SSU rRNA". It matches the Rfam family "Bacterial small subunit ribosomal RNA", at positions 791 to 1320 of the family's 1533-position model. The record is from RNAcentral.
UAGUCCACGCCGUAAACGAUGUCAACUAGCCGUCGGGCUCAUUUAAGGGUUUGGUGGCGCAGCUAACGCGCUAAGUUGACCGCCUGGGGAGUACGCCGGCAACGGUAAAACUCAAAGGAAUUGACGGGGGCCCGCGCAAGCGGUGGAGCAUGUGGUUUAAUUCGAUGCAACGCGAAGAACCUUACCUACCCUUGACAUUCUGUGCUACAUCCAGAGAUGGAUGGUUCCCUUCGGGGACGCAGUGACAGGUGCUGCAUGGCUGUCGUCAGCUCGUGUCGUGAGAUGUUCGGUUAAGUCCGGCAACGAGCGCAACCCACAUCCCUAGUUGCCAGCAGUUCGGCUGGGCACUCUAUGGAAACUGCCCGUGAUAAGCGGGAGGAAGGUGUGGAUGACGUCAAGUCCUCAUGGCCCUUACGGGUUGGGCUACACACGUGCUACAAUGGCAACUACAGUGGGUUAAUCCCCAAAAGUUGUCUCAGUUCGGAUUGUUCUCUGCAACUCGAGAGCA